This 502-nucleotide ribosomal RNA is filed under the name uncultured bacterium. Its description in RNAcentral is "partial 16S ribosomal RNA". It matches the Rfam family "Bacterial small subunit ribosomal RNA", at positions 28 to 507 of the family's 1533-position model. The record is from RNAcentral.
GACGAACGCUGGCGGCGUGCUUAACACAUGCAAGUCGAACGGUGAAGGGGUCUGCUUUUGUGGGCCCUGGAUGAGUGGCGAACGGGUGAGUAACACGUGAGUAACCUGCCCCCUUCUUCUGGAUAACCGCAUGAAAGUGUGGCUAAUCCGGGAUAUUCUGGUUCUGUCGCAUGAUGGGUCUGGGAAAGAUUGCGCCUUUGGGUGUUUUUGGUGGGGGAUGGGCUCGCGGCCUAUCAGCUUGUUGGUGGGGUGAUGGCCUACCAAGGCGGUGACGGGUAGCCGGCCUGAGAGGGUGGACGGUCACACUGGGACUGAGACACGGCCCAGACUCCUACGGGAGGCAGCAGUGGGGAAUAUUGCACAAUGGGCGCAAGCCUGAUGCAGCGACGCCGCGUGAGGGAUGGAGGCCUUCGGGUUGUAAACCUCUUUCGCCAGUGAAGCAGGCCUGCUCCUUGUGGGUGGGUUGACGGUAGCUGGAUAAGAAGCGCCGGCUAACUACGUG